Molecule: ribosomal RNA, 429 nt
Filed under: Verrucomicrobiota bacterium
Lineage: Bacteria; Pseudomonadati; Verrucomicrobiota
Description: Verrucomicrobia bacterium partial 16S ribosomal RNA
Rfam family: Bacterial small subunit ribosomal RNA
Source: RNAcentral
UAGGGAAUCUUCCGCAAUGGACGAAAGUCUGACGGAGCAACGCCGCGUGAGUGAAGAAGGAUUUCGGUUCGUAAAACUCUGUUGUUAGGGAAGAAAAAAUGUAUAGUAACUAUAUACAAAAGAGACGGUACCUAACCAGAAAGCCACGGCUAACUACGUGCCAGCAGCCGCGGUAAUACGUAGGUGGCAAGCGUUGUCCGGAAUUAUUGGGCGUAAAGCGCGCGCAGGUGGUUUAGAAAGUCUAAUGUGAAAGCCCACGGCUCAACCGUGGAGGGUCAUUGGAAACUAAUAAACUUGAGUGCAGGAGAGAAAAGUGGAAUUCCUAGUGUAGCGGUGAAAUGCGUAGAGAUUAGGAGGAACACCGGUGGCGAAAGCGGCUUUUUGGCCUGCAACUGACACUGAGGCGCGAAAGCGUGGGGAGCAAACAGG